Molecule: ribosomal RNA, 548 nt
Filed under: uncultured bacterium
Lineage: Bacteria
Description: bacterial SSU rRNA
Rfam family: Archaeal small subunit ribosomal RNA
Source: RNAcentral
AAUAGAUACCCAGGUAGUCCUAGCCGUAAACGAUACUCGCUAGGUGUCGGCCACGGUGCGACCGUAGUCGGUGCCGUAGGGAAGCCGUGAAGCGAGCCACCUGGGAAGUACGGCCGCAAGGCUGAAACUUAAAGGAAUUGGCGGGGGAGCACCACAACGGGUGGAGCUUGCGGUUUAAUUGGAUUCAACGCCGGAAAUCUUACCGGGACCGACAGCAAUAUGAAGGCCAGGCUGAAGACUUUGCCGGAUUAGCUGAGAGGUGGUGCAUGGCCGUCGCCAGUUCGUACUGUGAAGCAUCCUGUUAAGUCAGGCAACGAGCGAGACCCACGCCCACAGUUGCCAGCGUACUCUCCGGAGUGACGGGUACACUGUGGGGACCGCCGCUGCUAAAGCGGAGGAAGGAAUGGGCAACGGUAGGUCAGUAUGCCCCGAAUAUCCCGGGCUACACGCGAGCUACAAUGGUUGGUACAAUGGGUAUCUACCCCGAGAGGGGAUGGAAAUCUCCUAAAGCCAACCUUAGUUCGGAUUGAGGGCUGCAACUCGCCCUC